Molecule: unclassified non-coding RNA, 304 nt
Filed under: fungal sp.
Lineage: Eukaryota; Fungi
Description: partial internal transcribed spacer region
Rfam family: Eukaryotic small subunit ribosomal RNA (bases 1-46)
Source: RNAcentral
AAGUCGUAACAAGGUUUCCGUAGGUGAACCUGCGGAAGGAUCAUUUGUGAAAAUUUAAUGUUUUUUUUGAAGAGGGGUAAAAUCCUUUUUAGAAAAACAUAAAAAAAGAGAUUUCUUGUGGUUUAUAAAUGAUUUUUAAAAAAAUUGUUUGUUGUUGGAAAUUUAAACUUUCAAUGACAAACAAUUUAUAUUUUUAAAAUCAGUUUUUAUAAAAAACUAUUUUAAACAUGUAUUAAAAAAUUAACAGUUUUAAAAAAUAAAUUAAAAAAAAUUAAAACUGUCAACGGUGGAUCUCUUGGCUCGU